GUCGCUUUGCCACGUCGCCGCUCUCCUCUCGUGUUAGAGAACGCCUCUCCGAUCAAGGUCGCAGUUGCGGUCCCCAAAUACGGUGAACUUUUCCUUCUCCUUCUUUCUGUUUCCCGAUACCCGUCGGCGGAUCCCCGUCUGCAAUUUGCAGCAAAAUUGAUACGAUCUGGUCCCUAGGUUUUAGGACUUGGAUUCACCAUCAAUAUAUAAGAGGUUUCGAGCAUUAGCAGAUCAGCUUUUCCACAAUGCUGAUUAUCAUAAGCAUGUGAGCAAGGCAGUUGUAAACUUAAACAUUUGAAGAAACAUUAUGAAGGCUGUGUUCCCAUGGAGUCCAAGAAGUACCUGAAAAUAAUGAAAAGAUCACUUGACCCUACAAACAGUUGCAGACCGAGUAAUUUUGAAUUGAACUGUUCAUUCUCUGCUUCCUGAUUUAGAACAGGCUUAUAGGCAUUUAGUCUGCCCAAUAGCUGAUGUGCCGGAUUUUUUUUUGUGCAAUUAUUGUAUGUGUAUAUGUAUAUUCUUCUUCUAAACUAUGCUUGUAAUGUGAAGUGCCUCAAAGUUCUUCUCC
Long non-coding RNA from Musa acuminata AAA Group (dessert banana), 568 nucleotides. RefSeq lists it as uncharacterized. The transcript is spliced from 5 exons. Lineage: Eukaryota; Viridiplantae; Streptophyta; Magnoliopsida; Zingiberales; Musaceae. The record is from RefSeq and is a predicted model, not a curated record.